Molecule: ribosomal RNA, 19 nt
Filed under: uncultured Russulaceae
Lineage: Eukaryota; Fungi; Basidiomycota; Agaricomycetes; Russulales; Russulaceae
Description: partial 28S ribosomal RNA
Source: RNAcentral
ACCUCAAAUCGGGGAGCCC